RNAcentral lists this transfer RNA (92 nucleotides) under Streptomyces clavifer. Its description in RNAcentral is "tRNA-Arg". Lineage: Bacteria; Bacillati; Actinomycetota; Actinomycetes; Kitasatosporales; Streptomycetaceae. The record is from RNAcentral.
AGCGGCUGCUCCACGGAGACCACGGCCCCCGCGACGGCCCGCGGCGGCGCCGCCGCCGACGCCAAGGGAUCGUUCGGCCCGGUCGACUGCCG